UCGAGAGGCUUUGGCAAUGGGGGAAACCCUGACCAAGCGACGCCGCGUGGAGGAUGAAGGCCCUUGGGUUGUAAACUCCUUUUGCAGGGGAAGAAAUGCGAUCAGGUGAAUAAUCUGGCCGUUUGACGGUACCCUGCGAAUAAGCACCGGCUACCUUCGUGCCAGCAGCCGCGGUAAUACGAAGGGUGCACGCGUUAAUCGGAAUUACUGGGCGUAAAGCGUGCGUAGGCGGUUUGUUAAGUCUGCUGUGAAAUCCCCGGGCUCAACCUGGGAAUGGCAGUGGAUACUGGCAAGCUAGAGUGUGUCAGAGGAUGGUGGAAUUCCCGGUGUAGCGGUGAAAUGCGUAGAGAUCGGGAGGAACAUCAGUGGCGAAGGCGGCCAUCUGGGACAACACUGACGCUGAGGCACGAAAGCGUGGGGAGCAAA
This 426-nucleotide ribosomal RNA is filed under the name uncultured bacterium. RNAcentral describes it as "bacterial SSU rRNA". It matches the Rfam family "Bacterial small subunit ribosomal RNA", at positions 355 to 772 of the family's 1533-position model. The record is from RNAcentral.